GACGAACGCUGGCGGCGUGCCUAACACAUGCAAGUCGAACGGAAAGGCCCUGCUUUUGUGGGGUGCUCGAGUGGCGAACGGGUGAGUAACACGUGAGUAACCUGUCCCUGUCUUUGUGGUAACUUCUGGAGAAUCGGUAUAAUACCCGGUAGGAGCUUCUGCAGCAUGGGGGGGGUUGGAAAAUUUCGGCGGUUCGGGAUGGUCUCGAGGCUUAUCCGCUUGAUUGGCGGGUAGUGGCUUACGAAGGCUUUGAAGGGUAGCCGGCCUGAGAGGGUGACCGGCCACCUUGGGACUGAGAUACGGACCAGACUCGUACGGGAGGCAGCAGUCGGGAAUAUUGCGCAAUGGCGCGAAGCCAGAUGCAGCAGCGCCGCGUGCGGGAUGCCGUCCUUCGGGUUGUGAACCGCUUUCGCCUGUGAUGAAGCGUGAGUGACGGUAAUGAGUAAAGAAGCAACGGCUAACUACGUG
This 468-nucleotide ribosomal RNA is filed under the name uncultured bacterium. Its description in RNAcentral is "partial 16S ribosomal RNA". It matches the Rfam family "Bacterial small subunit ribosomal RNA", at positions 28 to 507 of the family's 1533-position model. The record is from RNAcentral.